Eriocheir sinensis (Chinese mitten crab) is the source of this 1530-nucleotide long non-coding RNA. RefSeq lists it as uncharacterized. The transcript has 2 exons. Lineage: Eukaryota; Metazoa; Arthropoda; Malacostraca; Decapoda; Varunidae. The record is from RefSeq and is a predicted model, not a curated record.
GGACGCACACGAGGCGGAGUGGGUAACAAACUUUCUAUCAGUACGACGCCGUGAAUGCCGAUAAGUGUGUCCGUGCCCCCGCGUCGGUCAGGACCUCGAGGCGACAUUCGGCAACACGACCACCUCAUGCAACAUAGGGAAAAUAAUAAAUAAGACAAACCUCAUAUUAGACGGAUUAAAAUAAAUGAGCUGCAUGUCGAAAGUGCACAUGAAUGGCGCACAAAGUCGAUCAAAGGAAGCCAGUCAAGUGUCGGCGGCGUUGUAGUCCGGUGUCGCAGGGCGGGGGUGAAAGCAAGUAUAUAAAGACACCUGUGAAGGAGCUUACCACACCUGUCCUCUACGCCGCCCCGCCACGCCGGUGCCGCCUUGCCCUCCCUCGCCGCCGCCACUGCCUUGCCACACGGUCAACGCAUCAACCAUCAUCACCAGCUCUCUACCAUGCGGGCCGUCACCCUCGCCAUCCUCGUGGGCGUGUGUGUGAGCCUCGCCCUCGGCCUGCCCCCGCCACAGCCCGCGCCCGCCACAGACGCCGAUAGAGAAGGGAAGUUCGUCAUCAUGGUCCUGCCGAGCGAGAUAGAGGUCCCAAAGUUCGAGGAUAAGUUUUUGUAUGAAGACACGACGCCGGCAAACCUCAAGCCGGGGAUGUUUGACUUCUUUAAAUAUUAUGGAUUCAAUAUUUAGGAGGAUUUGCAGCAGCGGAUACAAAAAUAGAAGCAAACACAGGAAAAAGAGGAAGAGGAAGAGGAAGAGGAAGGGCAGAUGCGAGAGGAAAGAGGAGGAGACGAAGGAUAUUAUGGAUUCAAUAUUUAGCAGGAGGAUUUGCAGAAGCGGAUAAAAAAAUAGAAGCAAACGCAGGAGAAAGAGGAAGAGGAAGAGGAAGAGCAGAUGCGAGAGGGAAGAGGAGACGAAGGAGGAGACGCUAUGCACUGAACACUAUGGGUCAGGACGAGGGGCUAACGUAAUGGGCUUGGGGAGGUUAUAUCGUAGGUUGAACCGAGGACUGAUGGACAAUGGAAAGUAAUGAAGGUAAAGUCAGUGAAAGUAACGGGUCGGCAAGCCAGGACCUGUAUUUUUCAACCUGAUUUACCUGUUCCUUUUUUUUUUCUCCUUUUAUUUUACUAUUUUUUGUUCAGUUUUUUUUCGUGUUUCUUUAUUUCUUUGUUUUUUGCUGUCUUCCUUUCGUUUCUUUUUUUAUUUUUGUUUUCUUUCAUUUAUUUUUUCUUUCCCUCUAUCUUUCUUUGUUUUAGCUCUUUCUUUCUUCCUCCUUCUUUUUGUCGGAACACGUUGGGAAAGGCCUGAAAAAGUUGAUGACGUUGAUGAAGACGAUGGACGAUGACUUCAGCGCAAGAACAUGUCCUAUACACGUCCUGCCGUUCUUGCACACCUGGCCAUUCACCUCGCUUAUACAUGCUGUUUUGUUUGUUUGUUAAGGUGUUGUUUUAUAUGUCAGGUAGUGUAGGUUACGUCCUUACGGUGCUGUCAUUUAUUAUUUCUUUUUAUACUCUGAUUAAAAUGUUAUAAUCUAUCUCA